UCCGUUUUGUCACCGGCAGUCUCCUAUGAGUCCCCGACAUUACUCGCUGGCAACAUAGAACAGGGGUUGCGCUCGUUGCGGGACUUAACCCAACAUCUCACGACACGAGCUGACGACGGCCAUGCACCACCUGUCACCUAUCCAGCCGAACUGACUGCCUAGUUUCCUAGGCAUACGAUAGGGAUGUCAAGCCUCGGUAAGGUUCUGCGCGUAGCAUCGCAUUAAACCACAUGAUCCACUGCUUGUGCGGAGCCCCGUCAAUUCCUUUGAGUUUUAAUCUUGCGAUCGUACUCCCCAGGCGGCAUAUUUAACGCGUUAGCUUCUCAGCACAGAGGGUCGAUACUCCAUACUAAUAAUAUGCAUCGUUUACGGCGUGGACUAC
RNAcentral lists this unclassified non-coding RNA (382 nucleotides) under uncultured bacterium. RNAcentral's name for it is "contains 16S-23S intergenic spacer region". The record is from RNAcentral.